Molecule: long non-coding RNA, 369 nt
Organism: Passer domesticus (house sparrow)
Lineage: Eukaryota; Metazoa; Chordata; Aves; Passeriformes; Passeridae
Exons: 3
Source: RefSeq, a predicted model, not a curated record
GUGAAUUCUGACAUGCUGUUGGUGAAAUGCUGGGAAUUGCCUUAAAAAAGAAAGGAUAUUGUUGAGGCAGAGACAACAGCUUUUGAAGCAAUUUUCUGGCGCACACAGCUUCAGAUAAACAGAUAACUGUCCAAAAGCAGAACGGAUCCUUGAAAUCUUUGAUUCAAGACCAUUGACUUCCUAGAAGGAUGAACUUAGCUCCAACACAGCCUGAUGAGGGCUAAAGGACACUCACCAGCAAGGACAUCCAAAAGAUCAGUCUGAAGGAGGAGAAAAGUAAAUAAAUACUGAAGUGAGAUAAAUAGAUACUGCCUGAGUAGGCAAGAAGACAGAGAGAAAAAAUCUUGGAAGUCUGUUGCAUCGAAUGGG